GUGGGGUUGGCCCCCACCUCAGUAGCAUCAUCCGGUCAAAGGGUGACUGUGAGGGUGGCGCGCUCUGUCACGACCGGAGCAUCCUCCGGUCAGAGUGUGAGGGUGAGACUCUCACAGGGAGGCCGUGGAUUCUCCCUCUCUGGAGACAUCCAGACCCCCUGGGCGCGUUCCUUUUUCACCUUGCCUUGGCAGAGAGUUGGACUGGGUGGUCUCAGGGGUCUCUUCCAACCCUAAGGACUGUGAUUCUGUGGGGCUGCAGCGGCCUCUGUCGCGACAGGAGCCUCAUCCAUCACGAGUGUGCAGAGGUGAGGGCCGUGCGCCUCGGGGCUGUGGCAGGGGUCACUCCGCAGAGGUCCUGCCCUGUGCUGGCACUGAGCAGUGUCCCCAGUUGCCGUCGCACACGUCCCGGUGACAGCACACUCAGCCCCGGCGAUAACGUGAGGAGGAAUAAACUGCACGCUGUGUUUUCAGCGCGGGUGUGGGGUGAGGUACCAGCUUCCCUCAGCACCGUGCCUCGGCUCUGGCACAGGAACCGACAGCACAGAAAACUGACUGAUCCAUCCAAUCCCACCCGGUAAUUUAUGGGAACUUCAGUGUACACAAACUGGAGAGAAAUCAGCGCCAACUGACAUUAAUACACCUGCAACACACACGCACAACACAGCGAGCGGCAUAAAUACCUUGAAAACUUGGUUCCAAGCGAUGUUCUUGUGUACAUAUGCCUGUGCAAAUACCAGAUUUGAUCCCUACAUGUGUGCUGGCUUACAUAAAUGCAGAUCUUACAUACAAUCUGCAUUUCCACAACUUAUAAACCACCCACUGCACCAUGAUAUAAGAAACUGCGUGUUUGAUCUGGAAUGAAAUAUUUCAGUCUUACCUCUGUGCUGGAAAAUGGAUGGAGAGGGGACAACCCAUUUAAAAUUAUGGUGUUCUAGGGUAUGUUUGGCCCUUUAUCCUUCCUAACAAAAGUAUAACUGCUUGAAAAGGCUCCUCUGUGAAUGGCCAAGGUCCAAGGAAGGAUAACUUGACAGCCUACACUUCACAGGGCAGUUCUGAAUGAAAAUUCUUGAGCUAGAUCUGAUGACCUAGUUCAGGUAAAGCAAUUACUUAUUCCAUGCCAUGCCCAUAUUAAUUUCAUCUUGCUUAUCAGCAGGAUUAAUCAGCAUGGCCAAAUGUUGCAUCAGUACAGUUAUGUUGCUUUUCAUACCUCACACUACACCUAAAUAGACUUAGCCUGUUACAGAGGUGAAGAAUGUCAACAUGACAGGUGCAUAUAAUUGAUGCAAUUUACUGUAAUUUUUCUAAGCAGUUUUAAUAAUUUUCUUGAUAUGGUAUGAACCCAUGAUGCCACCAUCCCCAAAACAUGUGUACAUAUGCAUAUGCAACAUUAAAAAUACAUGAUUUCCACAAUAAUUCCAUAUGGAAUAAUGCCAGCUACUUGAAUUAAUGUAUUUCACUAACAGUUCAGUAUAUCUCUAUGGACAGUUUUUUUUCCUUCUACCACAUUAAUAAAACCUGGAUUAUAUAUGUUUUUUUGGUAUAAAAACAUUUUCCAAGCAUUAUUUUUAUACACAAGCAUACUUACUAGCUUUCAUAUACAAAUGCACAUGUAAUGGACUUGAAAGUCCUGCCUUUCAUUUUCCUACUAAUUUAAAGUAUUUCAAUUAAGCAUCUGUAACAAUUUUCAAAACAAAAUGAUACCAGAAAGAAACCCAGCUCACAUUUUCAAACUAUUUCUCCCUGUGUUGUAUUUCCUAUGUCAUUCUUGGUUUCCUUUUUGUGCCUGUUUCCUAAAGGCCUUAUGGAAAAUCAUUUUAAGCAUACCAGAGGCAUGGCACAUGCAAUUAGAUCUUGGCAGAGGGUAAAAUAAAGUAGAUACUGUGUUCUUUCUAUCUGACUUGUUAACAGGAAGAAAUGCUGCUAGGAAGGCAAACAGAGUCUGAAUUCUAGCAAAUCCUGGAGAACUCUUGGCAUUCUCUGGGGUUCACUAGUUCAACUAGAGUUUGACAGCUCCCAUUCGUUGUUUAUCCUCCAUUCAAUACAGAGGACUUGAUUCUUCCCCCUUUAUUCCACCCCAUAUAAAAUCUGGAAAGAACCUGGAAGCACAGACCUCUGCCUGUGUUUAUUUCUGUCACGUGUUCUGUUAUGGCUCAGUGAAUUUUGAGAGAAGAAUGACUGAAUUAAGGACUGUUCUACAGUUCUUUCUCUUCCAGAGCAGAGUAACCUCUUCAUUUUCUUCACAGUCCUUUCCCUGUCUUUCCCUAGAAGUGCAGGACCACUGCUGCUGCUGAGGAUUCCUUUGCAGGUGAUACCUUCCAAAUCCUCUGACAGCUACACAUUUGAAAUACAUUUGCAGAUACAAUUCAUGGUCUAGACAGCACAGCACAGAACGAGCUACAAAUACCCAUCUAGACACUGCAGCAGAAGCAGUACCUGCUAAAUUUGGCAUCACUUGAGAUCAUACAAAUUUAGAAUUGUGAGUUGAAAUCAGUGUUGUUUCCCAUCGCUCUGCAAGGAUUCAUAAGGCUUUCCAUGACAUUUGUCUUGUCUCUUAAAGAAGAUGGUUAUCUAAAGGAGAUGGUUAUCUAAAGAUGGCUGUUUUGACCCACAUCAAUGUGACAGCACCUCAGCUCUGCCUGAAGCAAACAAGCUCAUGAAAGCUUCCAAGCAGGUGCAAAAAGCUUUACAUUCUCCAUUUUUAAGGAAGGAAAUAAAUUCAUUUUGCUGCUGCAAAGUUGCAGUUUGCUAGUAGAGUGGAACCCCUUAGAGUGGUACCUGGGAAAGAAGCACAACAAAAUGGGGCAGUUUUGGCCUUGUUGAGAUUCCAUUCACGUAAUGGAAGUGUAUAUUCUUACAUUUGGCCUACUAUCUUUUUUCACUGUAAUAUAUUAAGAAGAAGCAGCCAACACAUCAGGCAGCAGCAUUAAAACAGUUCCUGUAAUGCUUACUAAUUGAAGUAAAUGGGAAUUUGGCCUGAGAGAGGACUGCAGGAUGCUUUCCUUCAAAUUGCAAUAACAUUAAGUCAUCCCUACUGCUGCAAAGCAGAUUCACAGCAGAGUUACUGGUCAUAAUGUGAAUUGUCUCUUGCUGUACACAAACACAUAUGUUUUCUAGCUCCAUUUUCAAACAAGAUUAAUAGUUUUGAGUGGAGCUAAACUCAGCAUGGAAGAGCACAUCAUAAAAUGCCAGUUGUUGAUCCAAAACACAUGAAUGCUGUCCUGCAAUAGGAUCUCUUUCAGUGAACAUAGACAAAGUGAGAAUAUUCUGCUUAAUUGUGCCAAAUUAUGUCAUAAUUUUUGCAGACUGGCUGAUUGCCUAAUGGGGCUUGUGUUGAGACCACCAAACUCACUGCUCUCAUCACCCUGGCUGAUUUCAAGUACAAGACUUAGUGAGUGACAAAUGGGGGCAUUGUUUCUUCCUCCCACAGUACUAUUUUAUUCCUCUGAAAUUACAGUUAUUAAAAUGUUUCAGCCAGUUGAAAUCUACCAAGGCAUAUUAAAAUGCUGCAAAAGUGCUGUAUCAAAGUGGAAAGGUUUUAAAUCUGCAGUUCUGUCAUAGGAUAAUGCAGUUUAAAUAUAGUAACUAUUUUUUCCAGUCAGCUUGCUCUUUGAAUUCAUGGUAUUAUGUCAAAGGGUUUUUUUUUUCCUCUCCCCCUUUAAGAAGCUUAUAGCUUAAACAGCAAAAUGCAAAAAAUACUGAGAUGAAACAGUUACACAAACCCAGCAGAGGAAUAAGUGAUAAAAUAUGGUUUGAAUGUUGAUAAUUAAGAUAAUCUGAGUUUAUUCUGAAUAAUUUUUAUUCCCAGGCAAUGUGUGUUCCUGUAUCAGCAGCAGGUAGAAUUUGACUUCCACAGAGACUGAGAGACUGUGAAGACGAAGGGUGGUGUUGCUGCUGGGAGAUUUCUAGAACUGGAUCUCUGUUCCUGCACAAAUCAGCUCCUUGCUGCCUUGGAAGUGUAAAGAGGCAGCGAGACAGAGUCUGAUCUCAGUGACAGUAACUGUGAGAGAUCACAGUUUGGCUUGGUAGAUUUCUUAUUUUAUUUCUAUAUGCUAUUCAUGGUCAUUUGGUUCUUCUCUGACGACUCCAGUGGAGUAUUUGCCACAAUAAUCUCAAUUUCCCUGCUUGGAAAAAUCUGUGUAUCCCAUGCUGGUGUCAGUAGGAGAUCUAGGUGUAUGGGAGAGAGAAACAUUUUAUCAGAACCAACGUCCAUCAUACAUGUCUGAAAAAAUAAUUUCUCCUUAUUUUGAUGGUGAGUCAGUUCCCUGGAAAAGAAAUCAGCUGGACUGUUAUUUUAAAAAAUGCACAGCAACUUUAGAAAUAAAGCACUGGUUGGUGCCCACGUGAUUUGAAUUCUUAUCUCAUCCUGACCUGAUUUUUCCAUCUAAUUACGGUCUAAUUCUGAUUAAUUUGGCAGCUCGCUGCCAUUUUUUUUUCUUGUGUAAAUAUUCCUUGUGGGCUUCUGGAUUUCAGUUUUGCUCUCUGUAGAUGGGGCUGGGAGGUUGUAGGAGGCUGCAUGGCCAAGCACAAUGUUUAGAAAAUGGUAAUUUUGUAGGGUGUUACAGAAUUGCCCUGUAUUUUCUCUCUGUAACAAGGUGAGGGUGUCAUAGCUGUGAUCAUGUGCAGUAUUUACCUGCAGAGCUUCAUUUGAGAGUGCACUUAAUAGUGCAAUAGAAAGUGGAAUUACUUUAGUCGUGGUCAUGGGCCACCAAUUCCUGAGCAAGGGAGUUACUCAGGCUUUAUACAAUAAGAUUCUGGUUUAAGUAAACCAUCUGAAUUACUUGGUUUUAAAACUUCUUUUGUUUUUUAAUCUUUUGAUCCUAUCAGAGGCAGUAAUCAAGGUGUUUGCACAACAAUGAAUAUUUCCCUUUUCUCAGAGUUCUUGCACGGUGCCAUGAACAGUUCUGCCAUGGCAUGGGCUUCUGCCAUUCCAAGUAUUUGCUGAAUCACAAGGAAAAGUCACGCUCUCCCUGAUUUUUCAAGAUUGAAAGGAAGACAUGCAGGUGCACUCCAUGUAGGAGCCUCCUGAGUGGAUUUACCCAACCCUGGUGUGAUGCUGGAGCCUGAGCAAUGAUUCCAUGUGUCUUCUGUCAUGUGACACACAGCUACAGGUGUCAGCAAGAGGACUGGAAGAAUGGAUCGUGUUCCCUGAAAUGCAGCUGGAGAAUGAGGGCAGCUGAGGCCACCCCAGACCUCAGGAGAUUGAUAGUGUUGGCAGCUGAGGAUCUAAUUAUGGAUUAUUUGGGUCGGACUCUUUUAUCCCAGGCAGAGCCCAAACCAGACUGGCACAGCCUGCAAUCCUUAAACUGACCAUAAACAAGACACAUGGUAAGGUAGGGUUUAUUACAUAUUUUAAAUUUUCACUGCUCAAGAGAUUGAAAAAUAUUGUCUACUUGAAUUACAUAAUAACCCACAAUUGGAUUGCAGUAUUUUGGUGUUUUCCACAGCUUCUUGUGUGAGCAUUUUUUAAAUCUCCCUGUUCUAUUAUUUCACCUCAUAUUACCUAUCAAUACACAGAACAUGUACAGUGUGUCUGGGAGUUAUUGUGGCAUUAAAUAGAAGUCACAAAGUCAGUGUAAAUGAUGGGGUGCACUAAUUAGGGCAGUCUGAUUUCCCUUUGUUUACUCCAAAAUCCCAUGGAGGAACUCAGGAGGGAUCUGUCCAAGACAUUACAUCAGGAAAGAGGCUCAGUCUGAUUUAUCCCAUCGUGUAGGCGACACAUUGCCAGAACUAUAUGUUCCACUUUAACAGAUGCAUACGUUCUCAGAGGGGAGGACAAUGAGUUGAUGCAGGAAAAAGCAUUCCCUGGAAAACCAAAAGCCCAGGUGAUCAUUCUGUAUCUUGGUAUUUCAUUUUCUGAGACUCACAUGAAGGAGAGGAGCACGACCCUGCUGCCAGAGUAACCAGAAGUUAUGAGUAUUAAUUUCCUGCCUUCCAGCACUGAUUGCCUGGUAGGCAUUUCUGAAGUGAUAAAAUUCUGUCUUGUUUUCUGCUGUUUAACUUUGUGAUCACUCAACAUCCAUUAGAGGAGCAGGUUUUGAUGAAGGGAAGAUUUCACCUUGG
Molecule: long non-coding RNA, 6060 nt
Organism: Parus major (Great Tit)
Lineage: Eukaryota; Metazoa; Chordata; Aves; Passeriformes; Paridae
Exons: 4
Source: RefSeq, a predicted model, not a curated record